Molecule: ribosomal RNA, 366 nt
Filed under: uncultured organism
Description: bacterial SSU rRNA
Rfam family: Bacterial small subunit ribosomal RNA
Source: RNAcentral
CGUAGGAUCCAAGCGUUGUCCGGAUUUACUGGGUGUAAAGGGUGCGCAGGCGGGCUGGUUAGUCUGUGGUGAAAUCUCAUCGCUCAACGGUGAAACUGCCUUAGAUACUGCCAGUCUUGAAUAAGCGAGAGAUCCGUGGAGUUCCGAGUGUAGCAGUGAAAUGUGUAGAUAUUCGGAAGAACACCAGCGGCGAAGGCAGCGGGUUGGCGCUUUAUUGACGCUCAGGCACGAAAGCAUGGGGAUCAAACAGGAUUAGAUACCCUGGUAGUCCAUGCCCUAAACGAUGAUCACUUGAUGUCGGCCGCAAGGUCGGUGUCGGAGCUAACGCGUUAAGUGAUCCACCUGGGGAGUACGCUCGCAAGGGUG